GAUGCUGUCCAGUUUCUAAAUCCAAGUAGAUAAAAAAAAAAAAAAAGAUCAACAGCUCACCCCAAACAGGAGCAUCAGAUCUUCGCCUCCGGUUCGCUUCAUAUUUGAUUCAUGACUACCAAUUGACUACUCCCUCUCUGAGCGCACAGAGUAAGAAGUGCAAAAGAGAAAACAAAAUAAAUAAAUAAAUUUAUUUCUCCUCUAAGCAAUGUUGAGAAGAGAACCAUUUCUCUGCAAACUCAUCUUUUUGCUCUUCUGUUUCGCUUCGCUCUCACUCGCUGACGAACUCAACGAGUCAGAUCGGCUCGAGUUCACCGCCAACACUUCAAUCUCUAACACCUCUCUCUCUAAACCUAGAGAAGGCAGUAGCUUCGCUGAUAUCAUCGAUAAAGCUCUCGAGAAAGAGUUCACUGAAAAUGACCAAAACGAAGCAACUGAUGCUGGAAGCUUCAACAACAGCGUCGCAGAACAGCAGGCAGUUUUGGAAACUGUUGCCAGAGUUAAAUCGAAGAAAAAUGACUCAAAAGAGGAAAAGUUGUUUAAAUUUCAACAUGUUUUCAAUUUGGACAAUGAUAAUGGAGCAGAAGAUACCCCAACACUGAUUGAUCGAAAGGAUAAUGUCUUCAUUAUAUCCAAUUUUAAAUCAAAAUAUCCUGUGCUGCAGCUAGACUUGCGAUUGAUAUCAGAUUUGGUUGUCGUCAUUGUGUCUGCAACUUGUGGUGGCAUUGCAUUUGCUUGUGCUGGACAACCGGUCAUUACUGGAUACUUGCUAGCAGGAUCUAUUAUUGGUCCUGGAGGGUUCAACUUUGUCAGUGAAAUGGUUCAAGUUGAGACGGUGGCUCAGUUUGGUGUAAUUUUUCUUCUUUUUGCCUUAGGCCUGGAGUUCUCGACAACAAAACUUCGAGUUGUCCGAGCAGUUGCUGUUGUAGGCGGCCUGCUUGAAAUUAUUUUAUUCAUGUUCUUAUGUGGCAUUACAGCCAUGUUAUGUGGUGGUAAGUCUUCUGAGGGUGUGUUUGUUGGUGCGUUUCUUUCGAUGUCUUCAACAGCAGUGGUAUUGAAGUUCUUGAUGGAAAAGAAUUCUACCAACGCCCUUCAUGGGCAAGUUACCAUUGGAACUCUUAUUUUGCAGGACUGUGCAGUUGGUUUGCUGUUUGCACUGCUUCCUGUUUUAGGUGGAACUUCUGGUGUUCUUCAAGGACUAAUGUCCAUGACUAAAGUGUUGGUGGUGUUGAUUGCAUUUUUGGCUGUUCUUUCUAUAUUAUCUUGUACUUGGGUUCCAUGGUUUCUUAAAUUGAUGAUGAGCCUGUCAUCACAGACAAAUGAACUCUAUCAAUUAGCAUCAGUCGCAUUCUGCUUGCUUGUGGCCUGGAGUAGUGAUAAGCUUGGUCUAAGCCUAGAACUGGGUUCAUUUGCUGCUGGGGUGAUGAUAUCAACAACUGAUCUUGCUCAGCAUACACUAGAACAAAUUGAACCUAUUCGGAAUUUCUUUGCUGCUCUUUUCCUUGCCAGCAUUGGAAUGCUGAUCCAUGUUCAUUUUCUCUGGAGCCAUGUUGAUAUAUUACUGGCAUCUGUUAUAUUGGUCAUCAUCAUAAAAACAGCCAUAAUCACUGCUGUUGUGAAGGGAUUUGGUUACAACAACAAGACAUCACUUCUUGUUGGAAUGUCUUUGGCUCAAAUAGGAGAAUUUGCUUUUGUUCUUCUUAGCCGUGCUUCUAAUCUUCAUUUAGUUGAGGGAAAACUUUACCUGCUGCUUCUUGGGACAACAGCCCUUAGCUUGGUGACGACUACUCUGCUUUUCAAGCUAAUUCCUGCUGUAAUGCAUCUAGGAGUGCUGUUACGGUGGUUCCCUCCUGACAGUGCAGUCGAGGUUGGAUCUAAAGGAGAAAUCUUCCGAUCAGACAGUGGUAAACAACGGAUUAGUGUGUUGGUUGAAGUACCUCAUAACUCAUGAGCUCCAUACAUAUAUGUCAUAAAGUGGUAUGUCAAGUUUAUAUGACUAGCACUCUGCUGCGGCCUUUUUUCACCCGUGCAGAUCAAGUGGACUGGCACACUCUUUCCAGUGCAUAAGAUUUCAGAUCUUCUGCGUGUCUCGCUGUUGGCUUUGCUCUCCUGCUCAUCUCAAGCAUGUAUACAAGAGGGCAUUUCGAAGUUGCAAUUACGAGGAUUCUGAUUGAGGGGACCAAGUCUUGGAAUAUCAGAGACUGGAGAGAGGAGCUUGAAAUUGGUUUGAUUAAAGUCGGUCUCACAAGUCCAAGAGAAAGAUCUUAAAUCUCGUGGUAACAUUAGCUGAUCCUGUUUGAAAGCCAUUCUUGAGUGGAGCAUCACAAGAAGAGAGCUAGACUGAGUAGCGCCCAUGAGCUGGUGUCAAGCUUGACGAAUGAAAUCAUGAACGAAGCCGUUAGAAUUUAGCUCCAGUCUUAAGAUUUGUGCUUCUUCGAAUGCUAUGCCAUGGAGUAUGGGCUUUAAACGGUUUGGGCGAUGCAUUUACCACUAUGCAGAGUAGUAGAAGAAGGAAAAAUAGAACUACGAAAACAAAGGACAAAUGAAGAAAAAGAAAUCAUUAGUGGAUAUUGAAAACGAUCACAGCCGUUCGUUUAUGUUGGGAGGGCAUAGGUUUGCUAUCAUAACCUUCAGUAUAAAAAGCUUCUCUUCGUUUUCAAUCCUAACAAAUCUGAUUUUCUUACA
This is an RNA transcript of Populus nigra (black poplar), 2685 nucleotides long. It is a transcript of the gene named K(+) efflux antiporter 6-like, with no coding region annotated. The transcript has 21 exons. The record is from RefSeq and is a predicted model, not a curated record. Lineage: Eukaryota; Viridiplantae; Streptophyta; Magnoliopsida; Malpighiales; Salicaceae.